Molecule: ribosomal RNA, 506 nt
Filed under: uncultured bacterium
Lineage: Bacteria
Description: bacterial SSU rRNA
Rfam family: Bacterial small subunit ribosomal RNA
Source: RNAcentral
GACGAACGCUGGCGGCGUGCCUAAUACAUGCAAGUCGAGCGGACCAAAGGGAGCUUGCUCCUGGAGGUUAGCGGCGAACGGGUGAGUAACACGUGGGCAACCUGCCUGUAAGACUGGGAUAACAUCGAGAAAUCGGUGCUAAUACCGGAUAAUAAAAAGAACUGCAUGGUUCUUUUUUGAAAGAUGGUUUCGGCUAUCACUUACAGAUGGGCCCGCGGCGCAUUAGCUAGUUGGUGAGGUAACGGCUCACCAAGGCAACGAUGCGUAGCCGACCUGAGAGGGUGAUCGGCCACACUGGGACUGAGACACGGCCCAGACUCCUACGGGAGGCAGCAGUAGGGAAUCUUCCGCAAUGGACGAAAGUCUGACGGAGCAACGCCGCGUGAGUGAUGAAGGUUUUCGGAUCGUAAAACUCUGUUGUUAGGGAAGAACAAGUGCCGUUCGAAAGGGCGGCACCUUGACGGUACCUAACGAGAAAGCCACGGCUAACUACGUGCCAGCAGCCG